AACGAACGCUGGCGGCAUGCCUAACACAUGCAAGUCGAACGAAGCCUUCGGGCUUAGUGGCGCACGGGUGCGUAACACGUGGGAAUCUGCCCUUCGGUUCGGAAUAACAGUUAGAAAUGACUGCUAAUACCGGAUGAUGACGUAAGUCCAAAGAUUUAUCGCCGAAGGAUGAGCCCGCGUAGGAUUAGGUAGUUGGUAGGGUAAUGGCCUACCAAGCCGACGAUCCUUAGCUGGUCUGAGAGGAUGAUCAGCCACACUGGGACUGAGACACGGCCCAGACUCCUACGGGAGGCAGCAGUGGGGAAUAUUGGACAAUGGGCGAAAGCCUGAUCCAGCAAUGCCGCGUGAGUGAUGAAGGCCUUAGGGCUGUAAAGCUCUUUUACCAGGGAUGAUAAUGACAGUACCUGGAGAUAAGCUCGGCCAACUCCGUGCCAGCAGCCGCGGUAAU
This 448-nucleotide ribosomal RNA is filed under the name uncultured bacterium. RNAcentral's name for it is "bacterial SSU rRNA". It matches the Rfam family "Bacterial small subunit ribosomal RNA", at positions 29 to 524 of the family's 1533-position model. The record is from RNAcentral.